RNAcentral lists this ribosomal RNA (274 nucleotides) under uncultured bacterium. RNAcentral's name for it is "partial 16S ribosomal RNA". It matches the Rfam family "Bacterial small subunit ribosomal RNA", at positions 523 to 796 of the family's 1533-position model. The record is from RNAcentral.
AUACGGAGGGGGCUAGCGUUGUUCGGAAUUACUGGGCGUAAAGCGCGCGUAGGCGGCUUGGUCAGUCAGGUGUGAAAUCCCGGGGCUCAACUCCGGGGCUGCACCUGAUACUACCUCGCUAGAGCACGGUAGGGGCGAGUGGAAUUCCCGGUGUAGCGGUGGAAUGCGUAGAUAUCGGGAAGAACACCGGUGGCGAAGGCGGCUCGCUGGGCCGAUGCUGACGCUGAGGCGCGAAAGCGUGGGGAGCAAACAGGAUUAGAAACCCUUGUAGUCC